AUAAUGAUACUCCCUUAUAGCCACAGUCCGAGCGUUAAAAGCAAAGCGUCGCAGGCAAUGGGUAGGGCUGCGCGAGAACCGCGCAGGGGUGCAAUUCCCGUGA
RNAcentral lists this non-coding RNA (103 nucleotides) under human gut metagenome. RNAcentral's name for it is "pemK RNA". It matches the Rfam family "pemK RNA". The record is from RNAcentral.